Molecule: long non-coding RNA, 579 nt
Organism: Hemicordylus capensis (graceful crag lizard)
Lineage: Eukaryota; Metazoa; Chordata; Lepidosauria; Squamata; Cordylidae
Exons: 3
Source: RefSeq, a predicted model, not a curated record
CCUUUGAAGAUGGUCAGAAAACUUGGAUUGGCUUAGAAUACAGCAGCCAGACUUCCAACCAGAGAGCCAUAGUUCCGAUGCUCUAACUCUGAUCGUAAAAGGUCAGAGCUGGCUGUCACGUCCUUUCCAGGCUCACUUCCAGGCGUCCCAAGGGGUGGGGUGUGCAUGGAUUCAGCACUGCAACACCUUCAGGGGGAUGCACGCUCCAGGGAGAGAUGCACACCAACCACUCUGCCGAGAAAUGCUAAGGAAUCCUCCCCAUUGUCUCCUUCCUUGGGACCUUGAAACCAGGAGAGAAUUUCACGGAUCUCUCAGCAAAUCCACCGGUUAGGACACGUGAGAGCUGCAAGGAGAGGGAAGUCUCACAUCCUCAUUCUCCCUUCAGCACUGUGGAGAACAAGGAGAGAUGAACGGCUGACCGUGCAAGGUGCCAAUUAGCUCCGGAUAUCAGGGUUUUCAGUGUUCCCUAAGGAGGCAGUGGGGCAGGGAAUACCAGCCUUAAAGAUGUAAACCUGUGGCUUGAUAUAUUGUUCUAUAGCUAAGAUUUUUGUAAACCGCUUUGGGAGGUUCACCUGGAAG